RNAcentral lists this ribosomal RNA (497 nucleotides) under uncultured bacterium. Its description in RNAcentral is "partial 16S ribosomal RNA". It matches the Rfam family "Bacterial small subunit ribosomal RNA", at positions 28 to 507 of the family's 1533-position model. The record is from RNAcentral.
GAUGAACGCUGGCGGCGUGCCUAAUACAUGCCAGUCGAGCGAACGGACGAGAAGCUUGCUUCUCUGAUGUUAGCGGCGGACGGGUGAGUAACACGUGGAUAACCUAUCUAUAAGACUGGGAUAACUUCGGGAAACCGGAGCUAAUACCGGAUAAUAUUUUGAACCGCAUGGUUCAAAAGUGAAAGACGGUCUUGCUGUCACUUAUAGAUGGAUCCGCGCUGCAUUAGCUAGUUGGUAAGGUAACGGCUUACCAAGGCAACGAUGCAUAGCCGACCUGAGAGGGUGAUCGGCCACACUGGAACUGAGACACGGUCCAGACUCCUACGGGAGGCAGCAGUAGGGAAUCUUCCGCAAUGGGCGAAAGCCUGACGGAGCAACGCCGCGUGAGUGAUGAAGGUCUUCGGAUCGUAAAACUCUGUUAUUAGGGAAGAACAUAUGUGUAAGUAACUGUGCACAUCUUGACGGUACCUAAUCAGAAAGCCACGGCUAACUACGUG